This 497-nucleotide ribosomal RNA is filed under the name uncultured bacterium. Its description in RNAcentral is "partial 16S ribosomal RNA". It matches the Rfam family "Bacterial small subunit ribosomal RNA", at positions 28 to 507 of the family's 1533-position model. The record is from RNAcentral.
GAUGAACGCUGGCGGCGUGCCUAAUACAUGCAAGUCGAGCGAACAGACGAGGAGCUUGCUCCUCUGACGUUAGCGGCGGACGGGUGAGUAACACGUGGAUAACCUACCUAUAAGACUGGGAUAACUUCGGGAAACCGGAGCUAAUACCGGAUAAUAUAUUGAACCGCAUGGUUCAAUAGUGAAAGAUGGUUUUGCUGUCACUUAUAGAUGGAUCCGCGCCGCAUUAGCUAGUUGGUAAGGUAACGGCUUACCAAGGCAACGAUGCGUAGCCGACCUGAGAGGGUGAUCGGCCACACUGGAACUGAGACACGGUCCAGACUCCUACGGGAGGCAGCAGUAGGGAAUCUUCCGCAAAGGGCGAAAGCCUGACGGAGCAACGCCGCGUGAAUGAUGAAGGUCUUCGGAUCGUAAAACUCUGUUAUUAGGGAAGAACAAAUGUGUAAGUAACUAUGCACGUCUUGACGGUACCUAAUCAGAAAGCCACGGCUAACUACGUG